Capsicum annuum is the source of this 2635-nucleotide long non-coding RNA. RefSeq lists it as uncharacterized. NCBI's taxonomy places the organism in Eukaryota, Viridiplantae, Streptophyta, Magnoliopsida, Solanales, Solanaceae. The transcript is spliced from 2 exons. The record is from RefSeq and is a predicted model, not a curated record.
UUAAUUUUGACACAUAAGAUACUUAUAUAUAUCAACGUUCAGUUAUGUAUAUGAAUAACUAAAAUUUGAGAGAAGAAAACAUUUAUUCAAAAAACUGAAAGAGAAGAUGAUUAAGCUCCAAACUAUCGAAAUUUGUAUUAUUUGUUCAAAAAAUGAUUAAUAGACUAUUUUGAGUUUUUUUUCCUCUUUGACAAUUGAGAAAGUUUUUGGUAGGGAGUGUUACCCUCGAAUAGGCCUAUUUGAUGCGAAUUUGAAUUAGUUGGACUCCAAUAUAGAUAUCGGACACUGGACACCGGAUGACGUGAGGGGCAUAUUUGGAAAUUUACAUAAUGAUAGGACCUUUUAGGUUUCAGGAAAAACUAUUUAAGAAGACGAUAGAGCUAAACUUAAACCCUAAUCUACUUGAUCUUAUCUGAGCAGUGGGCGGCGGCGAAGACGGCGGCGGAGAAUUUAACCGGCGGCGUUAGGGCGGAGCUACCGCCCUUUUUACUUAGGGUUUAUGGCAGCUCCGGUCAUCUCUUUCUCUCCGGUCAAUUCUCCGGUGCCCUUUUUCCCUGCUUUACUGCGAUGAAGACUGUUCGCCAUCUGAGCCUAUCAUAUAAAUCGGGGCGAUGACGGUUUGUGCGGACUUAAACAUAAAAAAACCUCAAAAAAGUUUUUAUUUUUAUGUGUUAUUUGCUAGAACUCAUGCAAUUUACUUGAUUUAUUGUAUUAUUGUAUUGCUUACUUGUCAUAUUUUGCUUAUCGAGAGUCAAACUAUAUAGAUUUUGACAUAUAUUAUUUAUUGCGUUGUACUUCAACUAUCAUAUUAUUUUGGUGUAGUUUUUGUCUUUUAGUCUGUGUUGGGACUAUUUUUUUCCUUAUGAGUUACUGGAAAAUAUGAGAACUGUAACCCAUAAUGCUUGAGUAUUAUAGUUUGCGAAUAUGUAAAUUUAAGCUUAAAACAUUAAAUUAUGCUAGUUUAAUUAGCUUUAAAAACCAGUCAAACUGAGACUUGAUAAACAAAACAAAGGUUUAGAUUAAUCUAGUUUAAUUUGGCUUUAAAAAUUAGUGAAGCUGAGACUUGAUAAACAAAACAAAGGUGGAAGCUGAGGGAGUACUAUUAGUUCCAUUCUGAAUAGGUGCAUCUAGAAGUAAAGUUUUGUUUUUUUAUUUGUUAGUUGCUCUAGUUCAUGCAUUUUGGUAACUGGACAAGUUGUUGCCAUUUGAUUGGGAGGUCACGGGUUCAAGCCUUUGAAAUAGUCAUUGGCAGAAAUGCAAGGUACGACUGCGUACAAUGGAUCCUUAUGGUUGGGCCCUUCCCUGGACCCUCAUAAGGGGAGCUUUAGUGCACCGAGUUGCCGCACUUUUGCUCUAGUUCAUGCAUUUUGGUUGAUUUAUUUGCUUAUGCCUCUGUACUAUCUUUUUAUCAAACUGCCUUGUUAUGUGUUACUUGAUCCAAGGUUCUUUCGGAAACAACCUCUAUAUCUCUACGAGGUAGGGUAAGGGGUUAAGGUCUGCGUAUGCUCUAUCCUCCCCACCUGUGGGAACUGGGAAUACCCUGGGGUAUGCUGUUGUGUAUAUAUUGGUAUGGUUCAUGCUUCAAAUACCUUCAUGUCUGUGGUUCUGUUUGAAGCAAGUGCUUGCAUCUCUUUAAACUGCUUUAAGUUUGAAUUUUCAGGUGUGACUAUAUACAAUAACAGAGCAUUUUGUUCCUUCUGUUUUCAGAUCUGCGUGAAGUUUGUUUUACUUUAGAUUGACGACACAUCAACUUAAUUUUUUUUUUAGUUUUUAGAUGUUUCUGUAUAUCCUAGUCAGUUAUAUUAUUAUCUAGAUGGUUAAGAGAUAGAGUUACUUCUUACUUGUGAACACCUCUUAAUUUUUUGCGUGUGUUCCUGUUUCGGAAGCAUAGAUUAAUACUUAUGCCAGUUUUAAACAGCGUGGUGAAUGUAUCUCUUUGCACACCGCUACCUGUCUUCUGGUACAAGCUUAUAAUACAAUGAUAUGCUAAUUUGUGUCUUCAGAUGUAUCACCUUCAAGUUGUGCAGCAUAUAACAUUGUUCAAGGAUAUGAAAGACAUACAUUCUUAGUACAGCUGCAUAUAGUUGACAGCUCUAGGAUGUCUAAAUUUGAUAUGUUAUUGGAUGCCACAAAUAACAGAAUUCCGCUCUUCACUUUGUCAUUGCAUGUGCGAUGCAAAUUGAGUUGGAAGUUCUGGAGAUGCAGAUCACGGCUAAAGCCUAAAGGCUGUGAAGUGGCUGUGAAGACGAGGCCUUCCUUUGCUGAUACAGACUAUGCCUUGACAACAACAAACCCAGUGUAAUCCCACUCCCAUGUGGGGUCUAGGUACGGCAGAGUGAGAUGAUACAAGACUAUGCCUCGAUGCAAACUAUUUGGUGUUUGUUCAAUACUGUUAUGAGGUUGACUUAUUUCCAGUACAAAAUCCAUGUCUUCCCUGGAGAAGUGUUGUGCACAGUUGCUAUUAUACAACGCUCUUGCUGUUAUAUGUUAGUAUGCCAUACAUACUAUAUGGUACAUACUUGUAGUUAUUGUGUUAUCAUGUAGUCUGAGUAGCAUGAUCACUUCUCAGUUCCAAAGUAUAGCCUUUUUACUCAUAGAAGGUAUGCCAAUAAAGACUUAAUGGUAAGAAACUUGA